Molecule: unclassified non-coding RNA, 378 nt
Filed under: Hevea brasiliensis (rubber tree)
Lineage: Eukaryota; Viridiplantae; Streptophyta; Magnoliopsida; Malpighiales; Euphorbiaceae
Source: RNAcentral
CACUACUUUUCAGUCACCAUCUUUCGCCAUCAAUAAAACUUGGCUAGGCUGCCCCCCCUCUCUGUCUCUCUCCUCUCUUUAUCUUUUCUGUGUGUGUAUUUUUGCAUUUUGGUCUUUCUUUUCUUUAUAUUAUUUUGUUCUUUCACACACACAGAAUCAGCUGGGUGAUACGCUGUGUCAGGCGAAGAAGAGUGCGGAAAUUGAGAGAGAGAGAGAGAAGACUUCAGCAUGAAAAAACCGCACGAGAGUGAUCUGGAGGGGGAACUCUAAGUUCCUUUUUUGUUUUCAUUUUAUUAUAUUACUUGUUGCAGCCAAAACAUUGAGGAAGAUCAGCGCCAGAGAGUCAAGAACCAUUCAUGGGUGUUUCGAUUAGAGAGG